RNAcentral lists this non-coding RNA (45 nucleotides) under Schistosoma haematobium. The record is from RNAcentral. Lineage: Eukaryota; Metazoa; Platyhelminthes; Trematoda; Strigeidida; Schistosomatidae.
GUUCAGCUGACGAGUCCUAAUUAGGACGAAACUCACGUUCUGAAU